Molecule: long non-coding RNA, 906 nt
Organism: Mirounga angustirostris (Northern elephant seal)
Lineage: Eukaryota; Metazoa; Chordata; Mammalia; Carnivora; Phocidae
Exons: 3
Source: RefSeq, a predicted model, not a curated record
CAUACACCAGAUGAAAAGAGGAAAACCCCAGAUCUAAGAGCCUUAAAAUGGAAGUAAAAGUGAAACACCACUUCUUUGCAUAGCUUAUUUCCCCCUAAUUACCAAAACAGCUUACACAGUCAGCCCCACUUUGGGCACUGUCUUCGAUGUCUCUAGGAGGGAUUACUCAAGAUGCAAAGAAGGCUUGACCUCGGGUAGACCUCUGUUGUCAGGCAUGAGAACCAAUCUUGCAUCAAUGUAUCUGUAUAGCUCCUUACAGACUGGGACUGCCCGGAGGGAAGGAAUAAAAAAGUGUUCAAGUUAUCUUUUCAGCACAAAGAGCACAGGCAUCCAAAGUUCCUCAUAGUUUUACUGGAUCACAGGAGAGGGCUAAAGUGAAUGCCCCACUAUUGGUAGAUAGGAGGCUGCGGGCUCUCUUUUUGCCAGCCGGUGAGCCCCCAUCUACACCGCUGCGGGACCUUGGAGAUCCCUCACCUCAAGCUCCCUCAUCUACCAUCUGCCAAUUGGCCAUAUUUCCCAGAAGCUUCUCGGUGAAAUCUAAUGAGACAAUGGGUCAUGUGCGUGAGCAGAGGCGGUAUGUGUCUGUCUGCUGUUCCUUACCAGUCACUUGCAUAUAGCAUUUGUGAUGACCCAUGAACACAGAAUUCCAGCAGACCCCCGUGUGUGGGAGUUCAGCAAGGCUCCAAAUAAGAAUACCCCAUGAAUGGGGUUGUGAUGAAGUUCAUUUCAGAAGAUGCCCUACAAGCGCCUGGGUGGCUCAGUUGGUUAAGCGACUGCCUUCAGCUCAGGUCAUGAUCCCAGGGUCCUGGGAUCGAGUCCCGCAUCAGGCUCCCUGCUCUGCGGGGAGCCUGCUUCUCCCUCUCCCACUCCCCCUGCUUGUGUUCCCUCUCUCGCUGUGUCUCUCUC